AUACUUACCUGGCAGGGGGGAAGCCAUGAUCACGAAGGUGGUUUUCCCAGGGGGAGGCUCAUCCAUUGCACGCCGGAUGUGCCGACCCCUGCCAUUUCCCCAAAUGUGGGAAACUCGACUGCAUAAUUUGUGGUAGUGGGGGACUGCGUUCGCGCUCUCCCCUG
Molecule: small nuclear RNA, 164 nt
Filed under: Echinops telfairi (small Madagascar hedgehog)
Lineage: Eukaryota; Metazoa; Chordata; Mammalia; Afrosoricida; Tenrecidae
Description: U1 spliceosomal RNA (ENSETEG00000021377.1)
Rfam family: U1 spliceosomal RNA
About the family: U1 is a small nuclear RNA (snRNA) component of the spliceosome (involved in pre-mRNA splicing). Its 5' end forms complementary base pairs with the 5' splice junction, thus defining the 5' donor site of an intron.
Source: RNAcentral